GAUGAACGCUGGCGGCGUGCUUAACACAUGCAAGUCGAACGGGAAACCUUUUAUUGAAGCUUCGGCAGAUUUAGCUGGUUUCUAGUGGCGGACGGGUGAGUAACUCGUGGGUAACCUGCCUUAUACAGGGGGAUAACAGUCAGAAAUGGCUGCUAAUACCGCAUAAGCGCACAGAGCUGCAUGGCUCAGUGUGAAAAACUCCGGUGGUAUAAGAUGGACCCGCGUUGGAUUAGCUGGUUGGUGGGGUAACGGCCCACGAAGGCGACGAUCCAUAGCCGGCCUGAGAGAGUGAACGGCCACAUUGGGACUGCAACACGGCCCAAACUCCUACGAGAGGCAGCAGUCGGGAAUAUUGAACCAUCGGGCAACAAUGAUGCCGCCACGCCGCGUGAAGGAAUAAGUAUCUCGGUAUGUAAACUUCUAUCAGCAGGGAAGAUAAUGACGUUACCUAACUAAGAAGCCCCGGCUAACUCCGU
Molecule: ribosomal RNA, 476 nt
Filed under: uncultured bacterium
Lineage: Bacteria
Description: partial 16S ribosomal RNA
Rfam family: Bacterial small subunit ribosomal RNA
Source: RNAcentral